Molecule: ribosomal RNA, 791 nt
Filed under: uncultured bacterium
Lineage: Bacteria
Description: bacterial SSU rRNA
Rfam family: Bacterial small subunit ribosomal RNA
Source: RNAcentral
AGAGUUUGAUCAUGGCUCAGAUUGAACGCUGGCGGAAUGCUUUACACAUGCAAGUCGAGCGGCAGCGCGGGGGCAACCCUGGCGGCGAGCGGCGAACGGGUGAGUAAUACAUCGGAACAUGUCCAGUUGUGGGGGAUAGCCCGGCGAAAGCCGGAUUAAUACCGCAUGAGCUCGAGAGAGGAAAGCGGGGGACCGUAAGGCCUCGCGCGACUGGGUUGGCCGAUGUCCGAUUAGCUAGUUGGUGGGGUAAAGGCCUACCAAGGCGAUGAUCGGUAGCUGGUCUGAGAGGAUGAUCAGCCACACUGGGACUGAGACACGGCCCAGACUCCUACGGGAGGCAGCAGUGGGGAAUUUUGGACAAUGGGGGAAACCCUGAUCCAGCCAUUCCGCGUGAGUGAAGAAGGCCUUCGGGUUGUAAAGCUCUUUUGUCCGGAGCGAAACGGUUACGGUGAAUAUCCGUGACUACUGACGGUACCGGAAGAAUAAGCACCGGCUAACUACGUGCCAGCAGCCGCGGUAAUACGUAGGGUGCGAGCGUUAAUCGGAAUUACUGGGCGUAAAGCGUGCGCAGGCGGGCUUUUAAGCCAGACGUGAAAUCCCCGGGCUUAACCUGGGAAUGGCGUUUGGGACUGGAAGUCUGGAGUGCGGCAGAGGAGACUGGAAUUCCUGGUAGCAGUGAAAUGCGUAGAGAUGUGGAGGAACACCGAUGGCGAAGGCAGCCUUCUGGGCCAACACUGACGCUCAUGCACGAAAGCGUGGGGAGCAAACAGGAUUAGAUACCCUAGUAGUCC